GGGGUCGUGGCUCAGCGGUAGAGCACUCACCUAGCAAGUGCGAGGCCCUGGGUUCGAUCCUCAGGGAUCUAA
This 72-nucleotide transfer RNA is filed under the name Marmota monax (woodchuck). It matches the Rfam family "tRNA". From Rfam's summary of the family: Transfer RNA (tRNA) molecules are approximately 80 nucleotides in length. Their secondary structure includes four short double-helical elements and three loops (D, anti-codon, and T loops). Further hydrogen bonds mediate the characteristic L-shaped molecular structure. tRNAs have two regions of fundamental functional importance: the anti-codon, which is responsible for specific mRNA codon recognition, and the 3' end, to which the tRNAs corresponding amino acid is attached (by aminoacyl-tRNA synthetases). tRNAs cope with the degeneracy of the genetic code in two manners: having more than one tRNA (with a specific anti-codon) for a particular amino acid; and 'wobble' base-pairing, i.e. permitting non-standard base-pairing at the 3rd anti-codon position. The record is from Rfam by way of RNAcentral. Lineage: Eukaryota; Metazoa; Chordata; Mammalia; Rodentia; Sciuridae.